GCUGAGAUAGUCUAACUAGACACCUGAUUUCGACUCAGGAGAACUUAACCACUAAGUCCCAGUU
This 64-nucleotide transfer RNA is filed under the name Ophiophagus hannah (king cobra). Its description in RNAcentral is "tRNA-Arg". Lineage: Eukaryota; Metazoa; Chordata; Lepidosauria; Squamata; Elapidae. The record is from RNAcentral.